UUGCUAGUGGCUCAGAGGGUAAAGCAUCUGCCUGCAAUGCGGGAGACCCGGGUUUGAUCCCGGGUUGGGAAG
Transfer RNA from Ovis aries (sheep), 72 nucleotides. It matches the Rfam family "tRNA". From Rfam's summary of the family: Transfer RNA (tRNA) molecules are approximately 80 nucleotides in length. The record is from Rfam. NCBI's taxonomy places the organism in Eukaryota, Metazoa, Chordata, Mammalia, Artiodactyla, Bovidae.